RNAcentral lists this ribosomal RNA (461 nucleotides) under uncultured Halomonas sp. RNAcentral's name for it is "bacterial SSU rRNA". It matches the Rfam family "Bacterial small subunit ribosomal RNA", at positions 73 to 524 of the family's 1533-position model. The record is from RNAcentral. Lineage: Bacteria; Pseudomonadati; Pseudomonadota; Gammaproteobacteria; Oceanospirillales; Halomonadaceae.
UUCUCGGCUGCGGCAAGUUGGAUGCUUGACGAGCGGCGGAAGGGCUAAGUAACGCAUAGGAAUCUACCCGGUAGUGGGGGAUAACCUGGGGAAACCCAGGCUAAUACCGCAUACGUCCUACGGGAGAAAGGGGGCUUAGGCUCCCGCUAUUGGAUGAGCCUAUGCCGGAUUAGCUGGUUGGUGAGGUAAUGGCUCACCAAGGCGACGAUCCGUAGCUGGUCUGAGAGGAUGAUCAGCCACAUCGGGACUGAGACACGGCCCGAACUCCUACGGGAGGCAGCAGUGGGGAAUAUUGGACAAUGGGGGCAACCCUGAUCCAGCCAUGCCGCGUGUGUGAAGAAGGCCCUCGGGUUGUAAAGCACUUUCAGCGAGGAAGAACGCCUGUCGGUUAAUACCCGGCAGGAAAGACAUCACUCGCAGAAGAAGCACCGGCUAACUCCGUGCCAGCAGCCGCGGGUAAU